GUUCCAUCUUUGACUUUUUAUUUAUCAAGAGCUAAUACAGAGUUAACAAUGCUGAACACACUGUUUAUCAUGCAAGAAAUAUACUGAAUUUUAAUCCUUUUCUUCUUUUCUAACUAUUGCUACUGAAGAGACAGUAAAGGCAUUUUGUAUUUGUAGGAGAGAGCAUUUAUUAACUCAAGUCUUGUCUCAAGUGUGGCACAAUCAGAAUGUUCUGAACAGCUGGUUAGGAAGAUAGCCAAGAUGCAAGAAAGAUGUCUGAGCCUCCUUUUCAAGGGCAGCCAACUCUUGAACUGUAGGUGCCAGAAUAUCCACAUGGCCUUUAUAAAGUCCACCACCAAGGGCUCUUUUCUGUCCAUAUGUAACUUUCCCAUCAAAGUCAUCUACUGGUACUUUUAUGUCUGGUUCAACUUGGGAAAUAGUGCAGUUUAAGUGUUCUUCAAUUUCUCCCAGCAACUGCAUUUCAUUGUACCAUAUGGUACAACCACCUUCUUCCUUGAGUCUAGUAUUAUAACACCCCUUUCCACGACUACUGCAUACAUGAUACCAAACCUUUUCCUUCUCUUUUGCCACAAGGGAAAUUGCCAGACCCAUCCUUUCAGCUCUGCCUACUCUUCCAAUUCGAUGAACAUAGUUCUGUUUUUCAUCAGGGAGUGUGACGUUGAUAACAUAGGGAACACCAUGAAUAUCGAUUCCUCUAGCUGCAACAUCUGUGCAGAUCAAGAAACGGACAUCCCCUCUCUUAAAUCUUUCCAGGUUCUGCUUUCUUUCUUGAGGCUUUCUGUCACCAUGCAGACAGACACAUGAGAACUGAUGUCCCUUCCUAUCGGGGCCUCCACCCUGUUGGAUGAAGUAUUGCUCCAUAUUAUCACAAUCUAUUUUUGUCCUGCAGAAAAUAAUGGCCUGGUCCAUCUUGUGUUCCUUGAUUGCCCGAACAGUGUACUCUCCUUUUAGAAUUUUGAUAGCUUCAGACCACAUUUCUGGAGUGUUUGCACCAGGUCGUGUAUUGUCCUUUGCAUGUACUUCAUCAGUUCUGAUAUGAUUCUUGCCAAGCCUUUCCCAGAGUUUGUCGGUUUUGGGAUUUACAAUCACAACUACAUGGUGUACAGUUUCAGGGACAGAAUCUUCUCCUUUCAAAUCAACCCAGGUAGGAAAAUGCAUGAUCUUUUCAGAUAGUUUUUUCACAUCAAAAGAAUGUAGUGUUGCAGAACACACAAUCACCUGAAGUCUCUUGCCAUCUGAAGUUAUCUGUGGAAUUUGGCUGUGGAUCCUGUUUAUGAAAUCUGAAUACCCUUGAAGAAGAAGGCCAUCAGCUUCAUCCAGAACGAGGAAUCUAACUUGAGAUAAAUUAAGUUUUCCUGUUGAGACCAGGUCAUCCAGUCUUCCAGGAGUUCCAACAACAAUAUCCACUCCUUGUUCCAGCACAGAAAGUUGAUCUCUUGCAGCAACUCCACCAAUAAUCAACAGUUCCCUUAACUUGGGAUUAUCGAUGUAUUUUUUGAACUGCUUCACAUUAUUCAAAGUUUGUUCUGCCAGCUCUCUCGAUGGUUCUACAAUCAAUGCUUUUGGAGCAUUUGGAAGGUUCUGUGUUUGAACCACUUGUGCAUUUCCUGUAUGUUGUGAUUUUACAACAUUACCAUCUGGAGCUUUGCAAAGACCAAUAUAGCCAUCUUUUGGUGGAAAUUUGAAGUCUUCUUCACCAAAAUUGAAUUUCAAUUCAGCAUUCUUCAGUACACAAGCUGCAAAGAGUGCCUGGUUCCUUAUAUGUGGUGGGAAUUCAAACGCAAGGCCAAGGUCUUUCCCAUUUUUGGAAAAUUUAAUUUGUCCUUUAUCUAUGUCUAGAUAACAUCCAAUUGUAUCAUGCAUGGUGAAUUCCUCACCGUAGCUGUCAAAUUGCUUGUUGUGAGACUUCUUACCAGUUCCACCAAAUCCAAAGCCAAAUUUAUCAGUACCCAAAUCUAGUGAAGCCUGCAUAGUUGACCAACCAACUCUGCACAAGCCUUGGUCAUGACAAGACACUUCGUAAUAGUAUUUUCCUUUAGUCACACCUCUAGUUGCUCUGCAUCCAUGCCAUUCUUUUACUUCUCUGCUUUGACAACACAGACCAUCUGAUCCAAUUGCAAAAGCUGAUCCUCUGUCAUAUGGGUUCAUCUGCCAUUUAUUGAGGACUGCCCCACCAGUUUUAAUAGUUGCCUUCCCUUUCUUCCCUUCCAUUUGGUCCUUCAGUGUUUCAUACACAAUUUGGAUAACUGGAAUGCUGAAAGCACCAGUUUUUCCACUCCCUGUUUCUGCAGCCAUGAGUACAUCACCACCUCCCAGAAUCAAUGGGAUAGAUUCUGCUUGAAUAUCUGUAGGAAGAAGCCAAUCCAUCUCCUCCACUGCUUGAGCUAUUUCUGGCAUAACACCCAUUUCCGAGAACGCCGCCAUCUUCAC
Molecule: long non-coding RNA, 2430 nt
Filed under: Gallus gallus (chicken)
Lineage: Eukaryota; Metazoa; Chordata; Aves; Galliformes; Phasianidae
Source: RNAcentral